This 1749-nucleotide ribosomal RNA is filed under the name Salmonella enterica subsp. enterica serovar Legon. RNAcentral's name for it is "bacterial LSU rRNA". It matches the Rfam family "Bacterial large subunit ribosomal RNA", at positions 1180 to 2925 of the family's 2925-position model. The record is from RNAcentral. Lineage: Bacteria; Pseudomonadati; Pseudomonadota; Gammaproteobacteria; Enterobacterales; Enterobacteriaceae.
GCUAAACAUAUUACCGAAGCUGUGGAUUAUCCGUAAGGAUAAUGGUAGGAGAGCGUUCUAAACGUGUCGAAGCAUGAUCGUAAGGACAUGUGGAAUGUUUAGAAGUGAGAAUGCCGGUGUGAGUAGCGAAAGAUGGGUGAGAAUCCCAUCCACCGAUUGACUAAGGUUUCCAGAGGAAGGCUCGUCCGCUCUGGGUUAGUCGGGACCUAAGCCGAGGCCGAUAGGCGUAGGCGAUGGAUAACAGGUAGAUAUUCCUGUACCACCUAUGAUUGUUUGAACGAUGGGGGGACGCAGUAGGAUAGGCGAAGCGUGCUGUUGGAGUGCACGUCCAAGCAAUAAGACUGAGUGUUAGGCAAAUCCGGCACUCGUAAGGUUGAGUUGUGAUGGGGAGUUGGAUCAUGUAUCCGACGAGUCGUUGAUUUCACACUGCCAAGAAAAGCCUCUAGUUAGAAAAUAGGUGCCCGUACCGCAAACCGACACAGGUAGUCAAGAUGAGAAUUCUAAGGUGAGCGAGCGAACUCUCGUUAAGGAACUCGGCAAAAUGACCCCGUAACUUCGGGAGAAGGGGUGCUUUUUAGGGUGCAAGCCUUGAAGAGCCGCAGUGAAUAGGCCCAAGCGACUGUUUAUCAAAAACACAGGUCUCUGCUAAACCGUAAGGUGAUGUAUAGGGGCUGACGCCUGCCCGGUGCUGGAAGGUUAAGAGGAGUGGUUAGCUUCUGCGAAGCUACGAAUCGAAGCCCCAGUAAACGGCGGCCGUAACUAUAACGGUCCUAAGGUAGCGAAAUUCCUUGUCGGGUAAGUUCCGACCCGCACGAAAGGCGUAACGAUUUGGGCACUGUCUCAACGAGAGACUCGGUGAAAUCAUAGUACCUGUGAAGAUGCAGGUUACCCGCGACAGGACGGAAAGACCCCGUGGAGCUUUACUGUAGCCUGAUAUUGAAAUUUGGCACAGCUUGUACAGGAUAGGUAGGAGCCUUUGAAACGUGAGCGCUAGCUUACGUGGAGGCGCUGGUGGGAUACUACCCUGGCUGUGUUGACUUUCUAACCCGCACCAUUUGAUCAUGGUGGGAGACAGUGUCAGGCGGGCAGUUUGACUGGGGCGGUCGCCUCCUAAAGAGUAACGGAGGCGCUCAAAGGUUCCCUCAGAAUGGUUGGAAAUCAUUCGCAGAGUGUAAAGGCACAAGGGAGCUUGACUGCGAGACCUACAAGUCGAGCAGGGUCGAAAGACGGACUUAGUGAUCCGGUGGUUCCGCAUGGAAGGGCCAUCGCUCAACGGAUAAAAGCUACCCCGGGGAUAACAGGCUUAUCUCCCCCAAGAGUUCACAUCGACGGGGAGGUUUGGCACCUCGAUGUCGGCUCAUCGCAUCCUGGGGCUGUAGUCGGUCCCAAGGGUUGGGCUGUUCGCCCAUUAAAGCGGUACGCGAGCUGGGUUCAGAACGUCGUGAGACAGUUCGGUCCCUAUCCGUCGUGGGCGUAGGAAAUUUGAGAGGAGCUGUCCUUAGUACGAGAGGACCGGGAUGGACAUACCUCUGGUGUACCAGUUGUCGCGCCAGCGGCAUAGCUGGGUAGCUAUGUAUGGACGGGAUAAGUGCUGAAAGCAUCUAAGCAUGAAGCCCCCCUCAAGAUGAGAUUUCCCAACUUCGGUUAUAAGAUCCCUCAAAGAUGAUGAGGUUAAUAGGUUCGGGGUGUAAGCGCAGUAAUGUGUGUAGCUGACGAAUACUAAUCGAUCGAAGACUUAAUCAAAUUUUA